GAUGUGAAAUCCCCGGGCUCAACCUGGGAACUGCAUCUGAUACUGGCAAGCUUGAGUCUCGUAGAGGGGGGUAGAAUUCCAGGUGUAGCGGUGAAAUGCGUAGAGAUCUGGAGGAAUACCGGUGGCGAAGGCGGCCCCCUGGACGAAGACUGACGCUCAGGUGCGAAAGCGUGGGGAGCAAACAGGAUUAGAUACCCUGGUAGUCCACGCCGUAAACGAUGUCGACUUGGAGGUUGUGCCCUUGAGGCGUGGCUUCCGGAGCUAACGCGUUAAGUCGACCGCCUGGGGAGUACGGCCGCAAGGUUAAAACUCAAAUGAAUUGACGGGGGCCCGCACAAGCGGUGGAGCAUGUGGUUUAAUUCGAUGCAACGCGAAGAACC
Molecule: ribosomal RNA, 380 nt
Filed under: Escherichia coli
Lineage: Bacteria; Pseudomonadati; Pseudomonadota; Gammaproteobacteria; Enterobacterales; Enterobacteriaceae
Description: bacterial SSU rRNA
Rfam family: Bacterial small subunit ribosomal RNA
Source: RNAcentral